Molecule: ribosomal RNA, 929 nt
Filed under: uncultured fungus
Lineage: Eukaryota; Fungi
Description: eukaryotic LSU rRNA
Rfam family: 5.8S ribosomal RNA (bases 292-445)
Source: RNAcentral
CUUGGUCAUUUAGAGGAAGUAAAAGUCGUAACAAGGUUUCCGUAGGUGAACCUGCGGAAGGAUCAUUACAAAUCCAAAACAAUGACUCGUUGAAAUGUUCUCGGCCUUGGGGUAUGGCAUCCACUUUAUCCAUCACCGCCUCAAAGACGGAGGUGUCGUGGACGCGCCACACCAAAGAGAAAAGAGAUGAUGCUGGCAUAAUACUUGCAUCGCUUCUCUAACCACCUCUGAAACCAAGGUUCGCACAAUGACGCUUUAUAUUGACAUUUACAUAUCAGUGAUAACAAAAACAACUUUUAACAAUGGAUCUCUAGGCUCUUGCAACGAUGAAGAACGCAGCAAAAUGCGAAAUGUCGUGUGACAUGCAUUCCUCGUGAAUCAUCAAAUCUUUGAACGCACCUUGCACCUUUUGACUUUGUCAAUAGGUAUACUUGUUUGAGUAUCGUAUACACAAUCUCUCGCGAACUGUGUGUUUGUGAGAGGACAUGAGGGUCUGGAGGUGGUGACGCAUCGCAUAUCGCGUGCGUCGGUACUGAUUUUAGUCCCUUUAAAUGCAUGCCUGCUGUAAAGGCUCUGGUACACGGUCGAACGACAACAACAACGAUCGCACCCUCGCAUGACGCGGCGGCGGUCCGUUGUUCGACGGUCCAAUGGGAUAAUAUCCACAUAUCGUUGGUCUUGCCAGAGACGCUAAAUCAUCAUCGUGUUGUUGUCAUCCAUGGAUGGAUGAUCUCUUUACGAGCGCCCGCAUGUUGGGCGCAAGCAAGCAAAAGACCAAGACAUCAUCAUCAUCACACGUGGGAAGGGCUUUACACAAGCGCCUGCGGGAGGUGGGGAUGGCUUAAAUAAGGCCUUAGAUGGCUCACACUUACCGAUCUCAAAUCAAGUAGGACUACCCGCUGAACUUAAGCAUAUCAAUAAGCGGAGGA